CCUUUUAGCUAUUGUGAAUAAUGCUGCAGUGAACACGUGGGUAGAAAUAUUUCUUCAACACCCUGUUUUAGUUCUUUUGGGUAUAUACUCAGAAACGGAAUUGCUGGAUCAUAUGGUAAUUCUAUCUUUAAUUUUUUUGAAGAAUCACGAUUUUUUUUUUUUUUUUUUUUUGAGACAGACUCUCACUCUAUCACCAGGCUGGAGUGCAGUGGCACGAUCUUGGCUCACUCUGCAAGCUCCGCCUCCUGGGUUCAAGUGAUUCUCCUGCCUCAGCCUCCUGAGUAGCUGGGAUUACAGGCACCCACCACCACGCCUGGCUAAUUUUUGUAUUUUUAGUAGAGAAGGGGUUUCACCAUGUUGGCCAGGCUGGUCUUGAACUCCUGACCUCAGGUGAUCACCUGCAUCAGCCUCCCAAAGUGCUGGGAUUACAGGUGUGAGCCACCGCACCUGGCCCACUAUACUCUUUAUAGGAGCAGCUGCACCAUUUCACAUUCCCACCAGCAGUGCACAAGGGCUUCAUUUUUUCCACAUCUUUGUCAAUAUGUGUUAUUUCUUUUUUUUUUUUUAAUCAUAGGCAUCCUAAUGGGUAUGAGGUGGUUUAGCCAGAUUUGAAAGAAGAAAAGUUUAAAGGGUGGCAUAGGAUAAUUAACUUAAUGUUUGGCAUAAAGCCCUGCUUUUUUGCCAUGCUGUAUUUUUUUCUCUUGCUUUUGAUCUAGAAUUACUUACCUGUGUGUUUCUCUCUAUGCAGAUGAAUCUAUAAAAUAUACCAUAUACAAUAGUACUGGCAUUCAGAUUGGAGCCUACAAUUAUAUGGAGAUUGGUGGGACGAGUUCAUCACUACUAGACAGCACAAAUACGAACUUCAAAGAAGAGCCAGCUGCUAAGUACCAAGCUAUCUUUGGUAAGAUACCCUGGAAGGACUCAACGCCUAGCAACCUUGAACUUUCUUACUUGUG
Molecule: long non-coding RNA, 956 nt
Filed under: Homo sapiens (human)
Lineage: Eukaryota; Metazoa; Chordata; Mammalia; Primates; Hominidae
Description: long non-coding RNA NONHSAT106987.2
Source: RNAcentral